CCAGACGGUCGGAUGGCCGCCUUCGCGCCCAGAGUUUUCUCGGGGCACGGGGGAGGAAAGUCCGGGCUCCAUGGAAACACGGUGCCGGGUAACGCCCGGCGGGGGCGACCCCAGGGAAAGUGCCACAGAAAGCAAACCGCCCGGCGAGUGUUCGCAUUCGUCGGGUAAGGGUGAAAGGGUG
This 181-nucleotide RNase P RNA is filed under the name Rhodospirillaceae bacterium. Its description in RNAcentral is "partial RNase P RNA component class A". It matches the Rfam family "Bacterial RNase P class A", at positions 1 to 164 of the family's 367-position model. Rfam says of the family: Ribonuclease P (RNase P) is a ubiquitous endoribonuclease, found in archaea, bacteria and eukarya as well as chloroplasts and mitochondria. Its best characterised activity is the generation of mature 5'-ends of tRNAs by cleaving the 5'-leader elements of precursor-tRNAs. Cellular RNase Ps are ribonucleoproteins. Lineage: Bacteria; Pseudomonadati; Pseudomonadota; Alphaproteobacteria; Rhodospirillales; Rhodospirillaceae. The record is from RNAcentral.